UCGACGUGAUCUUCAUUUUCGGAUGGAGUGAAAGUGGCGCACGGGUGAGUAACACAUGGCUGACCUGCCCUUCAGCGGGGGACAACCACUGGAAACGGUGGCUAAUACCCCAUACGUUCACUCAGGUUAGAGGCUGGGUGAGGAAAGUUGCGGCGCUGAAGGAGGGGGCUGUGGCCCAUCAGCUAGUUGGUAGGGUAAAGGCCUACCAAGGCGAAGACGGGUAGGGGGCCUGAGAGGGUGACCCCCCACACUGGAACUGAGAGACGGUCCAGACUCCUACGGGAGGCAGCAGUAAGGGAUAUUGCGACAAUGGGCGAAAGCCUGACGCAGCAACGCCGCGUGUGGGAUGACGGCCUUCGGGUUGUAAACCACUUUUCGGGGAGAAGAGGAAGGACGGUAUCCCCGGAAUAAGUCUCGGCUAACUACGUGCCAGCAGCCGCGGUAAAACGUAGGAGGCGAACGUUAUCCGGAUUUACUGGGUGUAAAGCGCGUGCAGGCGGUCGUGUAAGUCAAGCGUGAAAGCGCCCGGCUCAACCGGGCGAGGACGUUUGAAACUGCAGGACUUGAGGGAGGUAGAGGCGUACGGAAUUCCGGGUGUAGUGGUGAAAUGCGUAGAUAUCCGGAGGAACACCAGUGGCGAAGGCGGUACGCUGGGCCUAACCUGACGCUAAGACGCGAAAGCAUGGGGAGCGAACGGGAUUAGAAACCCCGGUAGUCCAUGCCGUAAACGAUGUGAACUGGGUGUUGCGUGCGAUGAGUAUGCAGUGCCGAAGCCAACGCGAUAAGUUCACCACCUGGGGA
RNAcentral lists this ribosomal RNA (801 nucleotides) under uncultured bacterium. Its description in RNAcentral is "bacterial SSU rRNA". It matches the Rfam family "Bacterial small subunit ribosomal RNA", at positions 62 to 879 of the family's 1533-position model. The record is from RNAcentral.